This 1492-nucleotide ribosomal RNA is filed under the name Lactobacillus sp. NBRC 106020. Its description in RNAcentral is "16S ribosomal RNA". It matches the Rfam family "Bacterial small subunit ribosomal RNA". RNAcentral also lists the same sequence under 2 other names. The record is from RNAcentral. Lineage: Bacteria; Bacillati; Bacillota; Bacilli; Lactobacillales; Lactobacillaceae.
GACGAACGCUGGCGGCGUGCCUAAUACAUGCAAGUCGAACGAACUCUGGUAUUGAUUGGUGCUUGCAUCAUGAUUUACAUUUGAGUGAGUGGCGAACUGGUGAGUAACACGUGGGAAACCUGCCCAGAAGCGGGGGAUAACACCUGGAAACAGAUGCUAAUACCGCAUAACAACUUGGACCGCAUGGUCCGAGCUUGAAAGAUGGCUUNGGCUAUCACUUUUGGAUGGUCCCGCGGCGUAUUAGCUAGAUGGUGGGGUAACGGCUCACCAUGGCAAUGAUACGUAGCCGACCUGAGAGGGUAAUCGGCCACAUUGGGACUGAGACACGGCCCAAACUCCUACGGGAGGCAGCAGUAGGGAAUCUUCCACAAUGGACGAAAGUCUGAUGGAGCAACGCCGCGUGAGUGAAGAAGGGUUUCGGCUCGUAAAACUCUGUUGUUAAAGAAGAACAUAUCUGAGAGUAACUGUUCAGGUAUUGACGGUAUUUAACCAGAAAGCCACGGCUAACUACGUGCCAGCAGCCGCGGUAAUACGUAGGUGGCAAGCGUUGUCCGGAUUUAUUGGGCGUAAAGCGAGCGCAGGCGGUUUUUUAAGUCUGAUGUGAAAGCCUUCGGCUCAACCGAAGAAGUGCAUCGGAAACUGGGAAACUUGAGUGCAGAAGAGGACAGUGGAACUCCAUGUGUAGCGGUGAAAUGCGUAGAUAUAUGGAAGAACACCAGUGGCGAAGGCGGCUGUCUGGUCUGUAACUGACGCUGAGGCUCGAAAGUAUGGGUAGCAAACAGGAUUAGAUACCCUGGUAGUCCAUACCGUAAACGAUGAAUGCUAAGUGUUGGAGGGUUUCCGCCCUUCAGUGCUGCAGCUAACGCAUUAAGCAUUCCGCCUGGGGAGUACGGCCGCAAGGCUGAAACUCAAAGGAAUUGACGGGGGCCCGCACAAGCGGUGGAGCAUGUGGUUUAAUUCGAAGCUACGCGAAGAACCUUACCAGGUCUUGACAUACUAUGCAAAUCUAAGAGAUUAGACGUUCCCUUCGGGGACAUGGAUACAGGUGGUGCAUGGUUGUCGUCAGCUCGUGUCGUGAGAUGUUGGGUUAAGUCCCGCAACGAGCGCAACCCUUAUUAUCAGUUGCCAGCAUUAAGUUGGGCACUCUGGUGAGACUGCCGGUGACAAACCGGAGGAAGGUGGGGAUGACGUCAAAUCAUCAUGCCCCUUAUGACCUGGGCUACACACGUGCUACAAUGGAUGGUACAACGAGUUGCGAACUCGCGAGAGUAAGCUAAUCUCUUAAAGCCAUUCUCAGUUCGGAUUGUAGGCUGCAACUCGCCUACAUGAAGUCGGAAUCGCUAGUAAUCGCGGAUCAGCAUGCCGCGGUGAAUACGUUCCCGGGCCUUGUACACACCGCCCGUCACACCAUGAGAGUUUGUAACACCCAAAGUCGGUGGGGUAACCUUUUAGGAACCAGCCGCCUAAGGUGGGACAGAUGAUUAGGGUGAAG